UUGGAGGGCAAGUCUGGUGCCAGCAGCCGCGGUAAUUCCAGCUCCAAUAGCGUAUAUUAAAGUUGUUGCAGUUAAAAAGCUCGUAGUUGAAUUUCGGGAUCAAUUUGCUGGUCGUGCCUUCGGUACGCACUGGUAUUAUUGGUUUCUCCUUUCUGAUGAAUCGCGAUGUCAUUAAUUUGGUGUCGUGGGGAAUCAGGACUGUUACUUUGAAAAAAUUAGAGUGUUUAAAGCAGGCUCACGCUUGAAUACAUUAGCAUGGAAUAAUGAAAUAGGACGUUUGAUUCUAUUUUGUUGGUUUCUAGGAUCGACGUAAUGAUUAAUAGGGAUAGUUGGGGGCAUUAGUAUUCAAUUGUCAGAGGUGAAAUUCUUGGAUUUAUUGAAGACUAACUACUGCGAAAGCAUUUGCCAAGGAUGUUUUCAUUAAUCAAGAACGAAAGUUAGGGGAUCGAAGACGAUCAGAUAUCGUCGUAGUCUUAACCAUAAACUAUGCCGACUAGGGAUCGGAUGAUGUUAAUUUUUUAAUGACUCAUUCGGCGCCUUACGGGAAAC
This 549-nucleotide ribosomal RNA is filed under the name uncultured Glomeromycotina. RNAcentral describes it as "SSU rRNA". It matches the Rfam family "Eukaryotic small subunit ribosomal RNA", at positions 548 to 1098 of the family's 1831-position model. Lineage: Eukaryota; Fungi; Glomeromycota. The record is from RNAcentral.